AAAAAGCAAAAACAAAAAGCAAGAACCCUCCGGCUUCCACUCCCGGACCCGAGAGAGGAAGAAGAGAUUGGAGUUUAGUUUGUGUUGAACCGAAACCAAUCCUACGUGAUUGUUUUCAAAUUGAACAAGUAAUGAAUUAGGGCUGCCCAUUCUACAAUUUGAAUUCUCUGCAUGCUCGAUCAGGCAAGCGUUUAGCCCUAAUUAGGGUUCGGACAUUUCCAAUUCUCUCCUAUCACCUUCACCAACUCCAAUUCGCAGCUAUGACUGAGUAUUGGGUUAGCCAGGGCAACAAAUGGUGCGACUUCUGCAAAAUCUACAUAUCAAACAAUCCAUCCAGCAUUAGAAAUCAUGAUCUUGGUCAACGUCACAAGGAUAAUGUUGCCAAGAGGCUUGAUUCUAUGCGAAAAGAGGGCGUUGCAAAGGAAAAGGCCCAAAAAGAAGCAGCCCAAGCCAUUGAGCAAAUCGAAGCCAAAGCAAAACGUAGCUAUCAAAAGGAUAUAGCAAAUUUCCAAGAGGCCAGAGAAUCUCAUGCCCAAGCAUUAAAUGCUCAAGAUGAAGAAUGGGAGUUUGAUAGCACUUCAGGCUACUAUUACAACCAAAGCAAUGAUUUCUACUAUGACCCAAACUCAGGCUUUUACUAUUCUGAUGCAAUAGGCAAGUGGGUGACACAGGAAGAGGCAUAUGCCACGCCUCAGCUUUCGUCAAAUUCUAAACAUAGAGUACCCACUUCAAAAAAGCCACCGGCAGCUUCUGUGGCAGGAUCCAUUACAGAAAAUAAAGGUGCUGCUAAAGUUCAAAAUGGGCCAGCACCUGGGCCUGUUGUUUCAGCUUCUUUAAACCCCAUGAGAUCUGUUAAAGGUGCUCCAUCAUCGCUUGCUGUUGGCAAGAGAAAGAGGCAAGAUAUGAAGCCGAAGGCUAUAUCCAAAGAAGAAGCAGCUGCACUUAAAGCAAGGGAGGCUGCAAAAAAGAGAGUUGAAGAUAGAGAGAAACCAUUGCUUGGUCUCUACAAGCCUCUUUGAUUUGGACACUGAAGCAAUAUCCUCUGCUUGAUUCAAGGGGUACUUGAAUUUGUUUGAAGACGUCAUUUUGACAAAAGAAGGGCAUAUUCAACCCAGUUUUUUUUUUCCUACAAAACGUGGCCCAAAGUGUCGACUUCUGAUCCGCUGUUGGUGUAUUCCUGUUUACGAUCAAGAUGAACUUGCCGAGUAAACAAUAUAUAUUUGCUUGGAAACUCCUUGACCAUGAUAGAUCAUAACACCAUCCCGACUUUUAACACCCUACAGAAUACUUCCGAGGUCAAAGAAACUGAAUGAUGAACUGCAGAGAAACAGAGAUGCAAAUAUGAGCUCCAAAACUCAUCUUGAUUUGGGUUUCGAGGAGCAAGAAGAUGCUUAGAAGAGAAAUAAUUGUUCUCUCUUGCUCUUUCUCUCUAUUUUGUUUUGUUUUUUGUUUUUUUCCUUUUUCUUUUAUAACUUU
This is an RNA transcript of Alnus glutinosa, 1476 nucleotides long. It is a transcript of the gene named zinc finger protein ZOP1, with no coding region annotated. Lineage: Eukaryota; Viridiplantae; Streptophyta; Magnoliopsida; Fagales; Betulaceae. The transcript has 7 exons. The record is from RefSeq and is a predicted model, not a curated record.